GUGGGGAAUCUUCCGCAAUGGACGAAAGUCUGAACCAGCCAAGUCGCGUGAAGGAAGACGGUUCUAUGAAUUGUAAACUUCUUUUGUGCAGGAAUAAAGUGGGUUACGUGUAACCAUUUGUAUGUACUGUACGAAUAAGGAUCGGCUAACUCCGUGCCAGCAGCCGCGGUAAUACGGAGGAUCCGAGCGUUAUCCGGAUUUAUUGGGUUUAAAGGGUGCGUAGGUGGAUUGAUAAGUCAGCGGUGAAAGUUUGCAGCUUAACUGUAAAAUUGCCGUUGAAACUGUCGGUCUUGAGUGCAAAUGAGGUAGGCGGAAUGUGUUGUGUAGCGGUGAAAUGCUUAGAUAUAACACAGAACUCCGAUUGCGAAGGCAGCUUACUGGGAUGCAACUGACACUGAUGCACGAAAGCGUGGGUAUCAAACAGGAUUAGAAACCCGUGUAGUCC
Molecule: ribosomal RNA, 445 nt
Filed under: uncultured bacterium
Lineage: Bacteria
Description: partial 16S ribosomal RNA
Rfam family: Bacterial small subunit ribosomal RNA
Source: RNAcentral